CAACAUUCUGGAGAAACGAUUAGCAAGUAUUUCAGCAAAGUGUUGAAAGCAAUUAUCAAACUUUCAAAAGAGAUAAUCAAACCACCGUCCUUUGAUGUCAUCCCUCAAGAAAUUCUUAUGGAUCCUAGGCAUAAACGCUACUUCAAGGACUGCGUAGGUGCUCUGGAUGGCACCCAUAUAAAUGCUAUUGUCCCGGUGUCUGAGCAGGUUCGAUUUCGAGGCAGGAGAGGGAAUACCACACAGAACGUGUUGUGUGUUUGCUCAUUUGAUAUGAAAUUUACUUACGUGUAUGCUGGAUGGGAAGGAUCUGCCAAUGAUUGUUGAGUGCUUUCGGUAGCACUCGAAACUCCUCAAUUGCAAUUUCCCCGACCACCGCCCGGGAAAUACUACGUGGCAGAUUCCGGUUAUGCAGCACUUCCGGGAUUUUUAACUCCUUUUAGAAGGGAACGGUAUCAUCUCAGCGAAUAUAGAGGGAGUGGGAGACGGCCAAGAACAGCAAAAGAGUUAUUCAACUAUAAGCACUCUUCACUAAGAAAUGUAAUUGAGAGGUCAUUUGGGGCAUUAAAGAAUCGAUUCACCAUUUUGAGACAUAUGCCUCCAUUUACAAUUCGGAAGCAAGCACUUGUUGUAAUUGCAUGUUGUGCUCUUCAUAAUUACAUUCGUGAUCAAGAUAGGAUGGACAGAAAUUUUUCCAUGUAUGGAGAUCCGGAAUAUCCAUUUGGACCUACAGGAGGGGAAGUUGCAGAU
Eucalyptus grandis is the source of this 747-nucleotide long non-coding RNA. RefSeq lists it as uncharacterized. The transcript has 3 exons. NCBI's taxonomy places the organism in Eukaryota, Viridiplantae, Streptophyta, Magnoliopsida, Myrtales, Myrtaceae. The record is from RefSeq and is a predicted model, not a curated record.